This 433-nucleotide ribosomal RNA is filed under the name uncultured bacterium. RNAcentral's name for it is "partial 16S ribosomal RNA". It matches the Rfam family "Bacterial small subunit ribosomal RNA", at positions 29 to 507 of the family's 1533-position model. The record is from RNAcentral.
AACGAACGCUGGCGGCAUGCCUAACACAUGCAAGUCGAACGAGACCUUCGGGUCUAGUGGCGCACGGGUGCGUAACGCGUGGGAACCUGCCCUUAGGUUCGGAAUACCUCCCCGAAGGGGGUGCUAAUACCGGAUAAUGUCUUCGGACCAAAGAUUUAUCGCCUUUGGAUGGGCCCGCGUUGGAUUAGCUAGUUGGUAGGGUAAAAGCCUACCAAGGCGACGAUCCAUAGCUGGUCUGAGAGGAUGAUCAGCCACACUGGGACUGAGACACGGCCCAGACUCCUACGGGAGGCAGCAGUGGGGAAUAUUGGACAAUGGGCGAAAGCCCGAUCCAGCAAUGCCGCGUGAGUGAUGAAGGCCUUAGGGUUGUAAAGCUCUUUUACCCGGGAUGAUAAUGACAGUACCGGGAGAAUAAGCUCCGGCUAACUCCGUG